GUAGGAUAGGUGGGAGGCUUUGAAGUGUGGACGCCAGUCUGCAUGGAGCCGACCUUGAAAUACCACCCUUUAAUGUUUGAUGUUCUAACGUGGACCCGUGAUCCGGGUUGCGGACAGUGUCUGGUGGGUAGUUUGACUGGGGCGGUCUCCUCCUAAAGAGUAACGGAGGAGCACGAAGGUUGGCUAAUCCUGGUCGGACAUCAGGAGGUUAGUGCAAUGGCAUAAGCCAGCUUGACUGCGAGCGUGACGGCGCGAGCAGGUGCGAAAGCAGGUCAUAGUGAUCCGGUGGUUCUGAAUGGAAGGGCCAUCGCUCAACGGAUAAAAGGUACUCCGGGGAUAACAGGCUGAUACCGCCCAAGAGUUCAUAUCGACGGCGGUGUUUGGCACCUCGAUGUCGGCUCAUCACAUCCUGGGGCUGAAGUAGGUCCCAAGGGUAUGGCUGUUCGCCAUUUAAAGUGGUACGCGAGCUGGGUUUAGAACGUCGUGAGACAGUUCGGUCCCUAUCUGCCGUGGGCGCUGGAGAACUGAGGGGGGCUGCUCCUAGUACGAGAGGACCGGAGUGGACGCAUCACUGGUGUUCGGG
This 583-nucleotide ribosomal RNA is filed under the name Salmonella enterica subsp. enterica serovar Senftenberg. RNAcentral's name for it is "partial 23S ribosomal RNA". It matches the Rfam family "Bacterial large subunit ribosomal RNA", at positions 2138 to 2720 of the family's 2925-position model. Lineage: Bacteria; Pseudomonadati; Pseudomonadota; Gammaproteobacteria; Enterobacterales; Enterobacteriaceae. The record is from RNAcentral.